Molecule: ribosomal RNA, 206 nt
Filed under: uncultured bacterium
Lineage: Bacteria
Description: partial 16S ribosomal RNA
Rfam family: Bacterial small subunit ribosomal RNA
Source: RNAcentral
CACGUAGGCGGAUUGAUCAGUUGGGGUGAAAUCCCGGGGCUCAACCCCGGAACUGCCUUCAAUACUGUCAGUCUAGAGGUCGAGAGAGGUGAGUGGAAUUCCGAGUGUAGAGGUGAAAUUCGUAGAUAUUCGGAGGAGCACCAGUGGCGAAGGCGGCUCACUGGCUCGAUACUGACGCUGAGGUGCGAAAGCGUGGGGAGCAAACA